GACAUCCGGAUUCAAGAGGAGAAAGACUGUGCAAGGUGUAGUGUCGAUUUGGAGUAGCUUGGAUCGCCGGAGUAGCUAGGCCUAGUCAUCAAUCGCGACAAAGAAAUCGCAUAGGAGAUCUCGUCAAGGAAUAUCGCAAAUCAAGU
This is a long non-coding RNA of Gossypium arboreum, 146 nucleotides long. RefSeq lists it as uncharacterized. NCBI's taxonomy places the organism in Eukaryota, Viridiplantae, Streptophyta, Magnoliopsida, Malvales, Malvaceae. The transcript has 3 exons. The record is from RefSeq and is a predicted model, not a curated record.